GUCCCCGUGGUGUAGCGGCAGCAUUGCUGAUUCUCACUCAGUAGGUAGGGGUUCAACUCCCCUCGGGGGUAC
RNAcentral lists this transfer RNA (72 nucleotides) under Streptomyces phage Shaeky. RNAcentral describes it as "tRNA-Glu". It matches the Rfam family "tRNA". Rfam says of the family: Transfer RNA (tRNA) molecules are approximately 80 nucleotides in length. Their secondary structure includes four short double-helical elements and three loops (D, anti-codon, and T loops). Lineage: Duplodnaviria; Heunggongvirae; Uroviricota; Caudoviricetes; Colingsworthviridae. The record is from RNAcentral.